This 472-nucleotide ribosomal RNA is filed under the name uncultured bacterium. RNAcentral's name for it is "bacterial SSU rRNA". It matches the Rfam family "Bacterial small subunit ribosomal RNA", at positions 34 to 507 of the family's 1533-position model. The record is from RNAcentral.
CGCUGGCGGCGUGCUUAACACAUGCAAGUCGAACGAGAAUCACUGGAAGGAGUUUUCGGACAACGGAAGGUGAGGACAGUGGCGGACGGGUGAGUAACGCGUGAGGAACCUGCCUUUCAGAGGGGGACAACAGUUGGAAACGACUGCUAAUACCGCAUAAGCGCACGGUAUCGCAUGAUACAGUGUGAAAAACUCCGGUGGUAUAAGAUGGACCCGCGUCUGAUUAGCUUGUUGGUGAGGUAACGGCCCACCAAGGCGACGAUCAGUAGCCGGCCUGAGAGGGUGAACGGCCACAUUGGGACUGAGACACGGCCCAAACUCCUACGGGAGGCAGCAGUGGGGAAUAUUGCACAAUGGGGGAAACCCUGAUGCAGCGACGCCGCGUGAGUGAUGAAGUAUUUCGGUAUGUAAAACUCUAUCAGCAGGGAAGAUAAUGACGGUACCUGACUAAGAAGCACCGGCUAAAUACGUG